GUCGACGGGCUCUUCGGAGCAAGUGGCGGACGGGUGAGUAACGCGUGAGAAUGUGCCUUGAGGAUGGGGAUAACAAUAGGAAACUAAUGCUAAGACCCAAUGUGCCUUAAGUGGUGAAAAAUGAAAAUUGCCUGAAGAGGAGCUCGCGUCUGAUUAGCUAGUUGGGGUGGUAAAAGCGCACCAAGGCGACGAUCAGUAGCUGGUCUGAGAGGAUGAGCAGCCACACUGGGACUGAGACACGGCCCAGACUCCUACGGGAGGCAGCAGUGGGGAAUUUUCCGCAAUGGGCGAAAGCCUGACGGAGCAAUACCGAGUGAGGAAGGCUCUUGGGUUGUAAACCUCAAAACUUAGGGAAGAAAAAAAUGACGGUACCUAAUUUAAGCAUCGGCUAACUCCGUG
RNAcentral lists this ribosomal RNA (399 nucleotides) under uncultured bacterium. Its description in RNAcentral is "bacterial SSU rRNA". It matches the Rfam family "Bacterial small subunit ribosomal RNA", at positions 61 to 507 of the family's 1533-position model. The record is from RNAcentral.